CUCGAUGUUGCGCCGCACCUUUUGGAGACUUGGAUCUGCAGGUUGCAAUUUCUUGAUCCUCUCCAAUAAGGUCGGUUGAAUAACGAGCGCCAUCAGCUGAGCUGGGACCUCGGGAGCGACCACUUCGAGGUCCAGCCGCUCUAUUUCCAGCCCUAGGGGUGUUUGCCGGGUAACAUCAAAAGCGAGGUUCUUCGCCGACUU
This 201-nucleotide long non-coding RNA is filed under the name Ananas comosus (pineapple). RNAcentral's name for it is "long non-coding RNA (ACOM_LNC036630)". Lineage: Eukaryota; Viridiplantae; Streptophyta; Magnoliopsida; Poales; Bromeliaceae. The record is from RNAcentral.